This is a transfer RNA of Candidatus Entotheonella sp., 74 nucleotides long. It matches the Rfam family "tRNA". Rfam says of the family: Transfer RNA (tRNA) molecules are approximately 80 nucleotides in length. Lineage: Bacteria; Pseudomonadati; Candidatus Tectimicrobiota; Candidatus Entotheonellia; Candidatus Entotheonellales; Candidatus Entotheonellaceae. The record is from Rfam.
GUGUCCGUAGUGUAGUGGCGCUGCACACGACGUUGUGACCGUCGUAGCGGCGGGUUCGAUUCCCCCCGGACACC